GGUUCGCAUUGUAAUUUGUAGAGGAUGAUUUGGGGAAGCCGCCUGUCUAAGUUCCUUGGAACAGGACGUCAUAGAGGGUGAGAAUCCCGUAUGUGACAGGAAAUGGCACCCUAUGUAAAUCUCCUUCGACGAGUCGAGUUGUUUGGGAAUGCAGCUCUAAAUGGGAGGUAAAUUUCUUCUAAAGCUAAAUAUUGGCGAGAGACCGAUAGCGCACAAGUAGAGUGANCGAAAGAUGAAAAGCACUUUGGAAAGAGAGUUAAAAAGCACGUGAAAUUGUUGAAAGGGAAGCGCUUGCAAUCAGACUUGUUUAAACUGUUCGGCCGGUCUUCUGACCGGUUUACUCAGUUUGGACAGGCCAGCAUCAGUUUCGGCGGCCGGGUAAAGGCUCUGGGAAUGUGGCCUCCAC
This 406-nucleotide ribosomal RNA is filed under the name Aureobasidium pullulans. Its description in RNAcentral is "eukaryotic LSU rRNA". It matches the Rfam family "Eukaryotic large subunit ribosomal RNA", at positions 135 to 546 of the family's 3401-position model. Lineage: Eukaryota; Fungi; Ascomycota; Dothideomycetes; Dothideales; Saccotheciaceae. The record is from RNAcentral.